AUGCUUUACGCUUUAUCUGACAUCUUGAGCUUACCUGGUGCAUUGUCCCGGCUUGUGAUUUAUUUUCACCUGAUGCGUUUUAUUCGUUGCUUUGAGUAUUAUCUAAAACCUUGGGUUUCUUUGAUGUUGUAUGCUUGUGAUUUAUUUUCACCUGAAGUUUGGUAUACUCUUGACUUAUUUAUUUGCUUGUGGUUGUAA
Molecule: non-coding RNA, 198 nt
Organism: Vicia faba (fava bean)
Lineage: Eukaryota; Viridiplantae; Streptophyta; Magnoliopsida; Fabales; Fabaceae
Source: the annotation of a GenBank genome assembly